This 942-nucleotide ribosomal RNA is filed under the name uncultured bacterium. RNAcentral describes it as "bacterial SSU rRNA". It matches the Rfam family "Bacterial small subunit ribosomal RNA", at positions 547 to 1501 of the family's 1533-position model. The record is from RNAcentral.
GGAUUCAUUGGGUUUAAAGGGUGCGCAGGUUGGAAUGUAAGUCAGUGGUGAAAUACUGCCGCUUAACGGUAGAGCUGCCAUUGAUACUGCGUUUCUUGAGUAUGGUUGAGGUAGGUGGAAUGUGUUGUGUAGCGGUGAAAUGCAUAGAUAUGACACAGAACGCCGAUUGCGAAGGCAACUUACUAAGCCAUUACUGACGCUGAGGCACGAAAGCGUGGGUAGCGAACAGGAUUAGAUACCCUGGUAGUCCACGCUGUAAACGAUGUUCACUCGCUGUUUGCGAUACACAGUAAGCGGCUGAGCGAAAGCAUUAAGUGAACCACCUGGGGAGUACGAUCGCAAGGUUGAAACUCAAAGGAAUUGACGGGGGCCCGCACAAGCGGAGGAACAUGUGGUUUAAUUCGAUGAUACGCGAGGAACCUUACCUGGGCUUAAAUGUAGAUUGCAUAGGGUAGAAAUAUCCUUUCCCUUCGGGGCUAUUUACAAGGUGCUGCAUGGUUGUCGUCAGCUCGUGCCGUGAGGUGUCGGGUUAAGUCCCAUAACGAGCGCAACCCCUAUCGUUAGUUGCCAGCGGGUCAAGCCGGGGACUCUAGCGAGACUGCCACCGUAAGGUGAGAGGAAGGUGGGGAUGACGUCAAAUCAGCACGGCCCUUAUGUCCAGGGCUACACACGUGUUACAAUGGCCGGUACAAAGGGCAGCUACUUCGCGAGAAGAUGCUAAUCUCGAAAGCCGGUCCCAGUUCGGAUUGGAGUCUGCAACCCGACUCCAUGAAGUUGGAUUCGCUAGUAAUCGCGCAUCAGCCAUGGCGCGGUGAAUACGUUCCCGGGCCUUGUACACACCGCCCGUCAAACCAUGGGAGCUGGGGGUGCCUGAAGUCUGCCACCGCAAGGAGCGGCCUAGGGUAAAACUAGUGACUGGGGUUAAGUCGUAACAAGGUAACC